AGCCAGACCUGGCAGGAGGAAGCCAGCUGUAGACAGGAAACGCGUCAGCUGGGCGUCCCCGCUUGUGCGGCUCAGGGGCUGAAUGUCGGGGGGCUCGGAGGUGCCAGGAGCCCGAGGGGACGCGGGACGCCCCCUGUCUGCGCUGAGCGGGGCCAUGCAAAGCAGCAAGAACUGGUCCCCCCGGGCAAAUGGGGGCUGGGAUCUCCUUCCCUCAUCAUCGCUGGGAGUCAUGACUGCCCCGGGCUCCUGGGUCCCCUUCUGGACGCUCCUCAAGCUGACCCUCUACCUGCUGGCCAUCAUGACCUUCUCCUUCCUCAUCCACGUAAGCAGCCGGUUCCCCUCCACAAAGCAGAGGCUCCCCUCCCCGAACACAACGAAGGGGUCCCCAGCCACAUCCCCCACCACAACGCCCCCAACAGAGCGGGGCAUGUGGACCGUGAACUCCGCCGGGCGCCUGGGGAACCAGAUGGGGGAAUACGCCACCCUCUACGCCCUGGCCAAGAUGAACGGGCGCCAGGCCUACAUCCUCCCGGAGAUGCACCAACAGCUGGCGCCGCUCUUCCGCAUCACCCUGCCCGUGAUCCCCAGCGACAUGGUCCGGAGCGUCCCGUGGAAGGACUAUGAGCUCCACGACUGGAUGUCAGAGGAGUACAGGCACAUCGAGGGGAAAUACGUCCGGCUGACGGGCUACCCCUGCUCCUGGACCUUCUACCACCACCUCCAGCAGGAGAUCCUCCAGGAAUUCUCCUUCCACGACCACGUCAAGGAGGAGGCCAACCGGUACCUGGCCGGGCUGCGCGGGCAGCACCGGAACGUGACCUACGUGGGCGUGCAUGUCCGAAGGGGGGACUACGUCUGGGUGAUGCCCCAGGUCUGGAAGGGGGUGGUGGCGGACAAGGCCUACCUGGAGAAGGCCAUGGGCUACUUCCGGGACAAGUACCAGGAGCCAGUCUUUGUGGUGACCAGCAACGGGAUGGAGUGGUGCCGGGAGAACAUCGACGCCUCGCGGGGGGACGUGUAUUUCUCGGGGGAUGGGAAGGAGUCGUCACCAGGGAGGGACUUUGCUCUCUUGGCCCAUUGCAACCACACGAUCAUGACCAUCGGGACCUUCGGCAUCUGGGCCGGUUACCUGGUCGGUGGGGAGACCAUCUACUUGGCCAACUACACCCUCCCCGAUUCCCCCUUCCUCCGGCUCUUCAAACCUGCGGCCGCCUUCCUGCGCGAGUGGAUCGGGAUUGACGCCGAUCUCUCCCCACUGCGGAGCGGGAAUUCUGGCUAAAUCAGCCACAGGCUGCCAGUGGGAUCCACUCACCAGGACCUGGCUGGUCGGCUGAGGACUGGGCACCUGGGCCCCCCGGCUGGUGCGGGCUGCGCUGGGGAGAUCGGGGGCGAUUGGAGCUGGGCUGGCGGGAUUCAGAGCCCCACACGGAGCAGCCAAUGACCUACAUCGGACAACUUCUCAUAGGAGUGUCCUGAGUGAUGGGACCGUCUCCGUCUGUUGAAUGUGUGGUCCCCCGCCCCUCCUGGUAUUCCAUCAUGGAGUCUGGAACCAGGGGCCGGGAUCACGUGAUCAAAGCAGCCAGGAGACAGAGACGCUUUGUCCCAUCCCAGGCAGGUGGGAGAGGAGCAUCUUCAGGGACGUAUUGUUCUUCCCAACGGCCCAGCCGGACUGAUGGCUGCUGUCUGCUGGGCGUUCCCCAGGGGGAAACCCACUGGUCAUUGGUCCAGCGUCGAUAUUCCUGAUAUUCAGGCCUGGUACGUUCACACCAAUAGCAUAAUCACAUUCAGCCAAUCGUCACCUUUCUAUUGAUACCUCACAUGCCUCGUCUUGCACAAAAUAUGUCACAGUGAUGCUAUAAUUCUAUUGUUACACACGUUCUAUGAAGAAUACGGAGUGUGGUGUCACCGGGUCUGGGAGGUUAGAGCGGAUGGAAGUGGGAUCUAGUGGUUAGAGCGGGGAGGGCUGGGAGCCAGGACUCCUGGCUUUAUCCCCGGCUCUGGGAGCGGAGUGGGGUCUAGUGGUUAGAGCGGGGGGGGGGGCUGGGAGCCAGGACUCCUGGCUUUAUCCCCGGCUCUGGGAGCGAAGUGGGGUCUAGUGGUUAGAGCAGGGGUUCAUCAUUGUCUGCAGCUUUGUGAAAUUGGCCCUUCUAAAGCACCAAGUAUGUACAAGAUUGGUCCAGACCGGGGCUCCGGAGCCACCUGCAGCUCUUCAGAGGUUAAUAGGCGGCUCCUUGUCUAGACACCGACUCCAGGGCUGGGGCGACAGGCGCCAACUUUCCAUGUGCCGGGAGGUGCUCAGAGCUCUGCCACGGGCCCUGCCCCCAACUCCACCCCUUCCCACCUGUGACAAACUGGGGGGGGGGGGUUCUUGGUUUUUCCGUGUUUUUCCAAUGGUUUGCAUGCCAAGGGGGUGGGACUCAGUGUCCCUGGGUGUUACUGGUUUAACGAGGGGAGGGGAGAGGGAGUUUAUUGUUACAGAGGACCAGAGCGGGAACUUGGGACCCCAACCACUGGCGUGAAGAAUGGAGAUCCCAGUGACUGGUGACCUGACGACCCGGAGACCCAGCUCAGGAGUUGCAGCCGGUUCUGGCCAGUGGGAGGACAAUGGGCUGCAGAGAGAGGACCCCGGUGACCUGACCAGCUGGUUCCAGCCAGAGGGGCCAGAGGACGGAAGAG
Molecule: non-coding RNA, 2676 nt
Organism: Chrysemys picta bellii (western painted turtle)
Lineage: Eukaryota; Metazoa; Chordata; Testudines; Emydidae
Source: RefSeq, a predicted model, not a curated record